CCUACGGGGGGCAGCAGUGGGGAAUAUUGCGCAAUGGGGGAAACCCUGACGCAGCAACGCCGCGUGAGUGAUGAAGGCUUUCGAGUCGUAAAACUCUGUCUUUGGGGACGAAUAAUGACGGUACCCAAGGAGGAAGCCCCGGCUAACUACGUGCCAGCAGCCGCGGUAAUACGUAGGGGGCAAGCGUUGUCCGGAAUCACUGGGCGUAAAGGGCGCGUAGGCGGUUUGUUAAGUCAGGUGUGAAAGUUUUCAGCUUAACUGGAAAAGUGCACUUGAAACUAACUUACUUGAGUACUGGAGAGGUAAGCGGAAUUCCUAGUGUAGCGGUGAAAUGCGUAGAUAUUAGGAAGAACACCGGUGGCGAAGGCGGCUUACUGGACAGAGACUGACGCUGAGGCGCGAAAGCGUGGGGAGCGAACAGGAUUAGAUACCCCAGUAG
Molecule: ribosomal RNA, 439 nt
Filed under: uncultured Eubacteriaceae bacterium
Lineage: Bacteria; Bacillati; Bacillota; Clostridia; Eubacteriales; Eubacteriaceae
Description: bacterial SSU rRNA
Rfam family: Bacterial small subunit ribosomal RNA
Source: RNAcentral